RNAcentral lists this ribosomal RNA (497 nucleotides) under uncultured bacterium. RNAcentral's name for it is "partial 16S ribosomal RNA". It matches the Rfam family "Bacterial small subunit ribosomal RNA", at positions 28 to 507 of the family's 1533-position model. The record is from RNAcentral.
GAUGAACGCUGGCGGCGUGCCUAAUACAUGCCAGUCGAGCGAACGGACGAGAAGCUUGCUUCUCUGAUGUUAGCGGCGGACGGGUGAGUAACACGUGGAUAACCUACCUAUAAGACUGGGAUAACUUCGGGAAACCGGAGCUAAUACCGGAUGAUAUUUUGAACCGCAUGGUUCAAAAGUGAAAGACGGUCUUGCUGUCACUUAUAGAUGGAUCCGCGCUGCAUUAGCUAGUUGGUAAGGUAACGGCUUACCAAGGCAACGAUGCAUAGCCCACCUGAGAGGGUGAUCGGCCACACUGGAACUGAGACACGGUCCAGACUCCUACGGGAGGCAGCAGUAGGGAAUCUUCCGCAAUGGGCGAAAGCCUGACGGAGCAACGCCGCGUGAGUGAUGAAGGUCUUCGGAUCGUAAAACUCUGUUAUUAGGGAAGAACAUAUGUGUAAGUAACUGUGCACAUCUUGACGGUACCUAAUCAGAAAGCCACGGCUAACUACGUG